AUGGUCAUAUUUCUCGACAAUGAUCAUGGCUUGUUCGAACAUUGUUGUACACUACCAUAUUUUUUAAGAUCCAAAGCCAUACCAUUAAACAUUCUCUAUAUAUAGCCUGCACGUAUAUCUCUACACACUACCAUAAUAUUGACAUCCAAGUCUAUCCAUCAAGUACAUAAAUUAAUAAUUCUUUGAACCACAUUGUCCUUUCCUUAAAAACACUUGCUUUGUUUUCCUUGAUCCAUGGCCCUACUCCAAAGC
Molecule: long non-coding RNA, 252 nt
Filed under: Elaeis guineensis (African oil palm)
Lineage: Eukaryota; Viridiplantae; Streptophyta; Magnoliopsida; Arecales; Arecaceae
Description: long non-coding RNA (EGUI_LNC071510)
Source: RNAcentral